UACAGAGGGUGCAAGCGUUGUUCGGAAUCAUUGGGCGUAAAGGGCGCGUAGGCGGUUGAUCAAGUUGAAUGUGAAAGCCCGGGGCUCAACCUCGGAAGUGCAUUCAAAACUGGUUAACUAGAGUUCCGCAGAGGAUGGUAGAAUUCCCAGUGUAGAGGUGAAAUUCGUAGAUAUUGGGAGGAAUACCAGUGGCGAAGGCGACCAUCUGGACGGAAACUGACGCUGAGGCGCGAAAGCGUGGGUAGCAAACAGG
RNAcentral lists this ribosomal RNA (253 nucleotides) under uncultured bacterium. Its description in RNAcentral is "partial 16S ribosomal RNA". It matches the Rfam family "Bacterial small subunit ribosomal RNA", at positions 524 to 776 of the family's 1533-position model. The record is from RNAcentral.